AUUGAACGCUGGCGGCAGGCCUAACACAUGCAAGUCGAACGGUAACAGGAAACAGCUUGCUGUUUCGCUGACGAGUGGCGGACGGGUGAGUAAUGUCUGGGAAACUGCCUGAUGGAGGGGGAUAACUACUGGAAACGGUAGCUAAUACCGCAUAACGUCGCAAGACCAAAGAGGGGGACCCUCGGGCCUCUUGCCAUCGGAUGUGCCCAGAUGGGAUUAGCUUGUUGGUGGGGUAACGGCUCACCAAGGCGACGAUCCCUAGCUGGUCUGAGAGGAUGACCAGCCACACUGGAACUGAGACACGGUCCAGACUCCUACGGGAGGUAGCAGUGGGGAAUAUUGCACAAUGGGCGCAAGCCUGAUGCAGCCAUGCCGCGUGUAUGAAGAAGGCCUUCGGGUUGUAAAGUACUUUCAGCGGGGAGGAAGGGAGUAAAGUUAAUACCUUUGCUCAUUGACGUUACCCGCAGAAGAAGCACCGGCUAACUCCGUG
This 490-nucleotide ribosomal RNA is filed under the name uncultured bacterium. RNAcentral's name for it is "partial 16S ribosomal RNA". It matches the Rfam family "Bacterial small subunit ribosomal RNA", at positions 30 to 507 of the family's 1533-position model. The record is from RNAcentral.